RNAcentral lists this ribosomal RNA (510 nucleotides) under Calligrapha alnicola. Its description in RNAcentral is "partial 16S ribosomal RNA". The stretch from base 383 to 510 matches the Rfam family "Archaeal large subunit ribosomal RNA", at positions 2542 to 2669 of the family's 2987-position model. The record is from RNAcentral. Lineage: Eukaryota; Metazoa; Arthropoda; Insecta; Coleoptera; Chrysomelidae.
GUCUUUUUGUUAAAAAUUUAAAGUCGGGCCUGCCCACUGAAAAUUUAAAUGGCCGUGGUAUUUUGACCAUGCUAAGGUAGCAUAAUCAUUAGUUUUUUAAUUGAAAGCUGGAAUGAAAGGUUUGAUAAAAAAAUGACUGUCUCUAUUUAAUUUUAUUAAAAAUUUAUUUUUAAGUUCAAAAGCUUAAUUUUAAUUAAAAGACGAGAAGACCCUAUAGAGUUUAAUAAUUUAAGAUAAUUUAUAUUUUAGAAUUAAUUUAUUUAUUUUUUAAUAUUAUUUAAUUGGGGUGAUUAAAAAAUUUAAUUAACUUUUUUUAUAUUUCACCAUUAAUUUAUGAUAAUUUGAUCCAAUUUUUUUGAUUAUAAGAUAAAAUUACCUUAGGGAUAACAGCGUAAUUUUUUUAUAAAGUUCAAAUUAAAAGAAAAGAUUGCGACCUCGAUGUUGGAUUAAAAUUAAAUUUUGGUGUAGAAGCUAAAAAUUUUAAGUCUGUUCGACUUUUAAAAUUUUACA